RNAcentral lists this ribosomal RNA (301 nucleotides) under uncultured bacterium. RNAcentral's name for it is "partial 16S ribosomal RNA". It matches the Rfam family "Bacterial small subunit ribosomal RNA", at positions 509 to 807 of the family's 1533-position model. The record is from RNAcentral.
CAGCCGCCACGGGAAUACGUAGGGUGCAAGCGUUAAUCGGAAUUACUGGGCGUAAAGCGUGCGCAGGCGGUUAUAUAAGACAGAUGUGAAAUCCCCGGGCUCAACCUGGGAACUGCAUUUGUGACUGUAUAGCUAGAGUACGGCAGAGGGGGAUGGAAUUCCGCGUGUAGCAGUGAAAUGCGUAGAUAUGCGGAGGAACACCGAUGGCGAAGGCAAUCCCCUGGGCCUGUACUGACGCUCAUGCACGAAAGCGUGGGGAGCAAACAGGAUUAGAUACCCCCGUAGUCCCUGUCUCUUAUAC